This 1354-nucleotide ribosomal RNA is filed under the name uncultured bacterium. Its description in RNAcentral is "bacterial SSU rRNA". It matches the Rfam family "Bacterial small subunit ribosomal RNA", at positions 27 to 1389 of the family's 1533-position model. RNAcentral also lists the same sequence under 1 other name. The record is from RNAcentral.
GGAUAAACGCCGGCGGUGUGCCUAAUACAUGCAAGUCGUACGCAGGUGCUUGCAUCUGAGUGGCGGACGGGUGAGUAACACGUAGGUAACCUGCCCCGGAGCGGGGGAUAACAUUUGGAAACAGAUGAUAAUACCGCAUAACAACAAAGCCGCAUGGCUUUUGUUGAAAGAUGUUUGUAUCACUCUGGGAUGGACCUGCGGUGCAUUAGCUAGUUGGUAAGGUAAAGGCUUACCAAGGCGAUGAUGCAUAGCCGAGUUGAGAGACUGAUCGGCCACAAUGGAACUGAGACACGGUCCAUACUCCUACGGGAGGCAGCAGUAGGGAAUCUUCCACAAUGGGCGCAAGCCUGAUGGAGCAACACCGCGUGAGUGAAGAAGGGUUUCGGCUCGUAAAGCUCUGUUGGUAGUGAAGAAAGAUAGAGGUGUAAGCCUUUAUUUGACGGUAAUUACUUAGAAAGUCACGGCUAACUACGUGCCAGCAGCCGCGGUAAUACGUAGGUGGCAAGCGUUAUCCGGAUUUAUUGGGCGUAAAGCGAGCGCAGGCGGUUGCUUAGGUCUGAUGUGAAAGCCUUCGGCUUAACCGAAGAAGUGCAUCGGAAACCGGGCGACUUGAGUGCAGAAGAGGACAGUGGAACUCCAUGUGUAGCGGUGGAAUGCGUAGAUAUAUGGAAGAACACCAGUGGCGAAGGCGGCUGUCUGGUCUGCAACUGACGCUGAGGCUCGAAAGCAUGGGUAGCGAACAGGAUUAGAUACCCUGGUAGUCCAUGCCGUAAACGAUGAGUGCUAGGUGUUGGAGGGUUUCCCCCUUCAGUGCCGGAGCUAACGCAUUAAGCACUCCGCCUGGGGAGUACGACCGCAAGGUUGAAACUCAAAGGAAUUGACGGGGGCCCGCACAAGCGGUGGAGCAUGUGGUUUAAUUCGAAGCUACGCGAAGAACCUUACCAGGUCUUGACAUCUUGCGCUAACCUUAGAGAUAAGGCGUUCCCUUCGGGGACGCAAUGACAGGUGGUGCAUGGUCGUCGUCAGCUCGUGUCGUGAGAUGUUGGGUUAAGUCCCGCAGCGAGCGCAACCCUUGUUACUAGUUGCCAGCAUUAAGUUGGGCACUCUAGUGAGACUGCCGGUGACAAACCGGAGGAAGGUGGGGACGACGUCAGAUCAUCAUGCCCCUUAUGACCUGGGCUACACACGUGCUACAAUGGCGGUACAAUGAGUCGCAAGCUCGCGAGAGUGAGCUAAUCUCUUAAAGUACGUCUCAGUUCGGAUUGUAGUCUGCAACUCGACUACAUGAAGUCGGAAUCGCUAGUAAUCGCGGAUCAGCACGCCGCGGUGAAUACGUUCCCGGGUCUUGUACACA